CGGUAACAAUCGGCCGGAGGGCGCGGUAGUACGUAGGGGGCAAGGGGUAUCCGGAAUUAGUGGGCGGAAAGGGUGCUUAGUCGGUUUAUUAAGUCUAUGGUGGAAGUGACGGGCUCAAGCCCGUAUGGCCAUAGAAACUGGGAGACUUGAGGGCAGGAGAGGGCAAUGGAAUUCCAUGUGUAGCGGUAAAAUGCGUAGAGAUAUGGAGGAACACCAGUGGCGAAGGCGGUUGCCUGGCCUGUAACUGACGCUGAGGCACGAAAGCGUGGGGAGCAAAUAGGAUUAGAUACCCGGGUAGUC
This 300-nucleotide ribosomal RNA is filed under the name uncultured Bacillus sp. RNAcentral's name for it is "bacterial SSU rRNA". It matches the Rfam family "Bacterial small subunit ribosomal RNA", at positions 495 to 795 of the family's 1533-position model. Lineage: Bacteria; Bacillati; Bacillota; Bacilli; Caryophanales; Bacillaceae. The record is from RNAcentral.